CCGCCGCCCUCGUAACGCGCGAAUUGAGCCUUUCCCCCCCAAAACGCCCGCGGCAGCGCCGACAAAACGCCCGCGGGGACGGCGCCGCGCAAGCAGCCGUUGCCAUGCGGCGCGGGACGGGCCGUGGCGGACGUGGCUCCCCCGGGGCGGGUUUCGGCAGGAAAAAAUGAGCGGGGACCAUGCUGGGACCAUGCUGGGACCAUGCUGGGACCAUGCUGGGACCAUGCUGGUGGCGGCUGUGCGCGGCCGCCGCGGGCAGCCUGGUGCUCUGAGCGGAGGGGGAAAUCAGUCUGGCUUGGGACGGAUUUCUUUCCCCGGGAAGCGAUGCUGGCGGGUGCCGAUAGCGGCCGGGGCGAGGCGCCGAAACCUUCGCGGGGCUCCUGCUCGCGCCAGGCCGCGAGGGCUCCUCGCUUGCUUCGGGGUCAAAGCCGUCUGUCACAGCUUUAGCAGCAAAAAAGGGGGAGAAAAUAACAUAGCCCGAUGCCCAUUGCAUUCUGCAUYGUGGAGGGAGAAAACAUUUCUCAAGCUGUUUAUGUCUUUAUUCGAAAUAUCCGCAUCUCAGUCCCGCCACUUGGGAGGGCGUCCAGCUCUCUGUACCUGUCCGUCUUCUAGCAGCGCUUUUCCCCACCACUUUAUCCAGGUGCUGCUGCGUUAUUUCAUUUGGUGCCACCUAGUUGGGAGACGGGGGAUGGCAACCGCCUGUUCGCGUCCUUGGUCCCUUCGCAGGGCAUGCGGUACUCCGGGGUAAACGGAGUGAACAACGCUGUGCGAUACUCUUCUCUGAGCGUCUCCCUCGCCCUUCGCACGUCACCUGCUUCCGCUGUCUCCUGCCUGGAGGAGACACGAGCUGCACCGAUGUCCGGCACCGUGACAGCAAGCAAUGAGCAAACCGAGCGGCAGGAUCCUAGUCUCGGCCUCCCAGAGCAGCCCCCGGCAUGCGUUAAACCCACAGACCUGCAGUGAGGCAGGAAGGAUUCGGGCAGAACUGCCUGUCCUCGCGAUGCCCAGCUGCUUUCUGCAUCUCCCCGUCACGGGGCUCUUCCAGGCUGGCUGGGAGCUGGAAGCUGCAUCAAGCUCCUUCCCUGCAGGUUUUCACGCUGCAGAGAUUUACAGAAGAACUUUGGCUUAAGCACGUACAGUUUAUUUCUGCAGAGUCUGGAAAAUGGACACACACUUGUUUGUACUGAAAGCUGUUUUCUUAUCAACGUGCAACUAAUAGGCAYGGUGGGCUCACCUCAAGUUGAUAGGCCAUCAGAUUUACUUUCCCUUUUAAAAGCAAGAGCAGCAUAACCCUGUCGAGCACGGACAUGAUAGGGGAAGGAAGACCGCAGGGUACCAAUCAGCAGGAAACCCGCUCGAUGGAUAGAGCCUUGUUCAUGCUCCCUCCGCCUUGUAUCACGCUCCAUGGUGUCUUGGCCGAACCAUCCAGCCCUUGGCACAACGUAGGUGUCACCUCUUCMAAGCCUUUCCCUUAAUGGGGCAACCAUAUGGAUGUGCUGAAUUUUACGGUAUUGUUGUCUGGCCACAGCAGAGAAGCCAAAAGCAGCCCCCUUUGGCUCGCUGCCACCUUCAUGUUACCUGCAGGCCCUUUACCGGGAAUUAUACAGCAGUUUUAUUGCUGGGACAGCGCAGACAGUUUAAAACCCCUUCAGGAUAUAUUCAGGCUUUGAGUGUGUYGUUACAUAAUUAAUAAAC
This 1695-nucleotide long non-coding RNA is filed under the name Dromaius novaehollandiae (emu). Its description in RNAcentral is "lncRNA (ENSDNVG00000012056.1)". Lineage: Eukaryota; Metazoa; Chordata; Aves; Casuariiformes; Dromaiidae. The record is from RNAcentral.